CAGCCGUAAACUAUGCGCGUUAGGUGUACUGGUGACCACGAGUCACCGGGGUGCCGAAGGGAAACCGUGAAACGUGCCGCCUGGGAAGUACGGUCGCAAGGCUGAAACUUAAAGGAAUUGGCGGGGGAGCACCACAACGGGUGGAGCCCGCGGUUUAAUUGGACUCAACGCCGGAAAUCUCACCGGAUAGGACAGACAUAUGAUAGUCGGGCUGAAGACUCUACUUGAUGAUCUGAGAGGAGGUGCAUGGCGUCAGUGACU
RNAcentral lists this ribosomal RNA (261 nucleotides) under uncultured archaeon. Its description in RNAcentral is "partial 16S ribosomal RNA". It matches the Rfam family "Archaeal small subunit ribosomal RNA", at positions 748 to 1008 of the family's 1478-position model. The record is from RNAcentral.